Cydia pomonella (codling moth) is the source of this 1072-nucleotide long non-coding RNA. RefSeq lists it as uncharacterized. The transcript is spliced from 2 exons. The record is from RefSeq and is a predicted model, not a curated record. Lineage: Eukaryota; Metazoa; Arthropoda; Insecta; Lepidoptera; Tortricidae.
UCAAAAUCGGUUUCAAACUUUUUCGACUGAGUACGCGCAAUAAACGCCUAGUAGUAGUAUUUAAAUGUUUACCGUAUUCAUUUAAAGCAUCGUAGGACAAUGCCGCUAUGUAAACUGUAUGGUGGGUCUUAAAUUAGUGUGAGUUAUUUUGGCACCGGACUCAACCUUCACGUUACAAUAUUUAAAGUAUUGCGCUGUCAUAGUAACGAAAAUGAUAAACACGUCAAUCGGAGUAAACAAGUAACUAAAUGAUGCAAACAAGAAAAUAUUGCAAAAUAGGUACAUAUAUAUGUACCGAUAAUUAUUUUGUGUUAAAAAUAUGAGGCAAAUUAUACUGCCCGAUUAUAUGGACUACAUAUUAAAAACGAUUAUCUUGGAAACAGUCAAUAGAUGUCGAACCACCAGCAAAGUUUUUGAAGAGGUGUAGUUCCUGGUACCAACUGGAAACUGAAACUAAUAUCUACACUCAAGAAAAUGAAAUAUAGUCACAGAAAACUUUAAUGUUUUAUUUUAUUAAAGAAAAACGUUAAAAAAAUGUGUAAACAGAAAUGUAUAUUUUUUAAUUCGUAGUUGAAUAACAUAAUAUGUAUUUAAUCUCCUGUACAUAGGAAUCGUCUUUUUGUAGGUUUAUAUAAACAAUAAGUACUUAGGUCGAUUUAGGCAUCAACUCAUCACACCAAAAUUUUGUUCUAACCGGUCACACCGCCAAAAGCAGUAUUAUUUGUUUCAACCCGUCACAAGUAGAUUUAGUUCUAUUAGGACACAUCGUAAUUUUGUAGCUAUUGGUCAAACUGCAAAUCUGUUCCUAUUCGUCAUCCCGUCAAACUGUUCUAACUAGUCACAAGGAGGAUACCUAAACAAAUUUCACUACCCGCGAAACGUGUAAUAUAGACCAUACAGUAGGUCUUAAUGGUGAUGGCGACUGUACAAUGGGGUUGCGUAUACAUACAAAGAGCAUUCAAAUAGUUGGUGAUAGACCAAGUGACCGAGUUACUAACAGUUAUAUUAUAUCUUUUUUAUAAAUAAUGUAAUAGCGUAAUUUUUGGAAAAAUAAUAAAGGAUUCAUGAACCA